RNAcentral lists this ribosomal RNA (817 nucleotides) under uncultured organism. RNAcentral describes it as "bacterial SSU rRNA". It matches the Rfam family "Bacterial small subunit ribosomal RNA", at positions 48 to 865 of the family's 1533-position model. The record is from RNAcentral.
CUAACACAUGCAAGCCGAGGGGUAAGUCUCUUUCGGGAGAACACGACCGGCGCACGGGUGAGUAACGCGUAUGCAACCUACCUUUGGCACGGGGACAGCCCGGGGAAACCCGGAUUAAUACCCGGUAUAGUCUGUUAUACACCUGUAUAAAAGACGAGAGCUACGGCGGCCAAAGAUGGGCAUGCGUGCCAUUAGUUAGUUGGUAGGGUAAGGGCCUACCAAGGCAUCGAUGGCUACGGGGUCUAAAAGGAUGAGCCCGCACACUGGUACUGAGACACGGACCAGACUCCUACGGGAGGCAGCAGUGAGGAAUAUUGGUCAAUGGGUGGAAGCCUGAACCAGCCAUGCCGCGUGCAGGAAGACGGCCCUAUGGGUUGUAAACUGCUUUUCUACGGGACGAACGGCUCUGACGCGUCAGGGAUUGACGGUACCGUAGGAAUAAGCAUCGGCUAACUCCGUGCCAGCAGCCGCGGUAAUACGGAGGAUGCGAGCGUUAUCCGGAUUUAUUAGGUUUAAAGGGUGCGUAGGCUGGGCAAUAAGUCAGUGGUGAAAGUCCGCGGCUCAACCGUGGGAUUGCCAUUGAAACUGUUGUUCUUGAGUACAGUCGAGGUAGGCGGAAUGUGUAAUGUAGCGGUGAAAUGCCUAGAUAUUACCCAGAACACCGAUUGCGUAGGCAGGUUACCAGCCUGGAACUGACGCUGAUGCACGAAAGCGUGGGGAGCGACCAGGAUUAGAUACCCUGGUAGUCCACGCCGUAAACGAUGAUCACUCGCUUGUUGGCAAUAUAGAGGUCAGGGGUUGAGCGAAAGCAUUAAGU